AGAAAGAAAUAUUUCAGAGUUAUUUAAGAUAAGAAAGAAAUUAUUAUAUAUUAUUGUAGUAUCGUGGACAAAUGGCCUAAGAAAUAUCUGGUGAAUCAUAAACAAUAUUGCGGGAAGGGCUAAGUGCCGUUAGAAAGAGCCUGGCAGUUUUUACCGGGGAGUCGAGUGCGGAGGAGUCGAGUUGAGUAGUCGUGAGUUGAGAGUUGAGGCGUGAGGAAUCGAGUAGUCGUGAGUUGAGAGUCGAGAGUUGAGUUGCCGAGUUCUUACGAGUUGUAAACUAUUAGUUGUGAGUUGUGAAUUAACUAUUUAGAUCUAGCACAUUACUGUAUUUAGUUCACGUUAAGUAAUCAUCGUUUCUUAUCUAAUCCAUUGUAAAUAGAUCUAUCGAUCGAUAAACUUAUUAUAUAGGAUAAAUAAACAAUUCCUAUAUUAUAUUA
This is a long non-coding RNA of Bombus huntii, 437 nucleotides long. RefSeq lists it as uncharacterized. Lineage: Eukaryota; Metazoa; Arthropoda; Insecta; Hymenoptera; Apidae. The record is from RefSeq and is a predicted model, not a curated record. The transcript is spliced from 2 exons.